This 655-nucleotide long non-coding RNA is filed under the name Cucumis sativus (cucumber). RNAcentral's name for it is "long non-coding RNA (CSAT_LNC000297)". The record is from RNAcentral. Lineage: Eukaryota; Viridiplantae; Streptophyta; Magnoliopsida; Cucurbitales; Cucurbitaceae.
CCGGUUCAAAGGUCUUUAUUGAAAGGUCUGUAGAUGCCGUUAAAACGUCGCCUCCAAUACCGAAUCGUGGCUCCAUGGCAUCAGUUUUAUCCCAGUUAAAGAGAGUGAAUGACUGGUUGGACCGUGUAGUUUCAAAACGAGAUGAUCCUUUGAAAGAAAAGGUGGAAAGGUUAAAACGAAAGAUCUAUGGUUUUGUCAUUCAGAAUGUUGAUUGUUGAGUCUUUUAACUUCGACAACAGUGAUCCCGUUGUUUUAUUUCUUUCAACUUUGUUGAUUCUUUGUCAAAAAAAAAUCAUGUUUAAGGAAAUGUCUUUCAUUUAUUCAUUUAAUUGCCAUCUGCAUUAGUUAUCUUUAUCUGAAUGGAAAAUAUAUUUAAAAUGUAUAACUUCUUGCACAUCAUGUUUCAUGUUUUUCAACAAAAAAAUUAACAAAGAUACUGGUCGUGUAUUUUUCCACAACACGAACAAUGUCAGUACAACCUGCUACCCACCAACAGAACUUUAAAAUCCAGCCUUUAUAUUUUACCUCAAACUUUCUUUGCAUGCCUCAGUAAAAACGUCACUCUUCUUCUACAAAUGCUUCCAAACACCAUCACUUGUUUCUUCAUCUUUCUCUCAUGGCUCCACCGUGGGUUCAAGAGCUCCAUAUUCCUCAC